This 1840-nucleotide ribosomal RNA is filed under the name Triticum aestivum (bread wheat). RNAcentral's name for it is "partial small subunit ribosomal RNA". The record is from RNAcentral. Lineage: Eukaryota; Viridiplantae; Streptophyta; Magnoliopsida; Poales; Poaceae.
CAGAUAGGGGUCUUGUCUUUGUGGUCAGUCAAAGUCCGAACACGCGUCGCGUCACCGCUGGUGCUACGACUUCCGAGAAGGGCGCGCGAAGGAGCAGAGUGGCCUCGGGACCCCCGCCGCGGCCUCCGGAGCGGGUGCUAGAGAUGCCGGCUAAAGCCGCCGCGACUACUGGUUGGGGCGCAUGAAGCUCCAGCCGUCUAACAACCCAUUGAUACCGAAGUACUUGUAGUGUUCGAUAAGUAGAAGAGUCAGACCUCCCGAAGGUUUGCUACGACAAUUAGUUCUGGAAUCAGAACCUAUAAGUGGCCUUCUCUAACUCGCUAAUUCUCAGGUUCUACAACCUCUCCCUGUUCACUUUUAAUCUGAAAUGCUCCCUUCUCACCACGUUCCAGGUAACUUCCCGUGUGUUUGACAUAAAUUCCAUAUGGGACCUCGAUAACGACCACGAAGACUUCGAUUAAACUACCGUGACUUACUCGACUCCUGAGUACGAAAAGAAGUCUCACUACGUUCCCUAUAGACACUCUUGUAAGUCAAAGACAAUCCUCGUAAACUCUGUCGAUGACCUCUCGUCACCGAACGAAAGGCACUACUACCCUCUAUGUCACGACGUCUGAUACGUUUUUAUUGGUCACUUUCCGUCAACUUCCUUGCCGGAUUAAAAACCUUAGGGAUACUAGCACGUAUGUUUAACCUUGACUCCUUUAUAAAACAGGAAUCCGACGAAUUACCUCGAUACACACCGGAACAGGUGUACGUGUUAGUACUAUCUGACGUGGUUUCGGAACCGGGGAGAAGACAACAAGAGUUGUGACAACGUCUCUUUUUACCUAUGAUAAAUGAAGGUGUCGAGGCACUAAACCGUAAAAGACAUCUAUAGCCCAUAAGGAGACAACCCCAACCUCGCAACAGUCUACCAGAAACCGCAGCUCGUAGACGACGACCUCGUAGUUGAGGAAACCUCUUCGCUCGAAAACCUCAUCGACUACUGUAUAUACCUCGACCCAACGAAUAACGUAUGUACCGUAAAUAAGGCAAAACGCUUCGUCCGUAGUACCUAUCGUAAAGGAACGUCUCCGAGAACCUCUUGUGAAAGGCAGAGCUGUAAAUACGACGUUCUCUCAUAACGGACCUUCUACUAUUUAACAGCCUUCGACAUUUGAAAGAUCUAAAUCCACUACCACGGCCGACCCUCAACGACGUCCGUUACGAAUUAGGCCUAAUGGCAUUUGCUGGUUAACGACUCCGACAUGACUUGGUAUCCAAAUAAUGUCCCCGAGAUAACAUCUCCAUUAGUAGUUGAUCUACGCGAAUAUUUAAACAUGUUAUCUACCACCUCCGUCCAGGGUAACACACUUUCUUUACAAGUUUAGAUUUCUGUACAACACUAGUCCAUGAAUUUAUCACACAAUCUUUAUGUAUGCACAUCAAUCUCUAUUCCUCUCUACUUCUAUUUUAAUCAAAUUUAUAUAAUACAGAACAGAACAUGAGGUCCAGAGAUGGGAGUACUACAUGACAUAUAUAUGGGGAUAAUCCCAGUCUAGUUAUGUUGUAUGUUGUGGUAUAAGUUGGUAGGAUGUUAAAAACAGCUUUAAUAUCUACUGACUUAUAAAGACACCAAUAACUAGACUGGGAGCAUCCCCAUAUAUAUCUCAUGGUAUACUCCCUCUCUCUGAACCUCAUCUCCUGUUCAGUAUGUACCAAAUUGGAUAGGAUAGAGAUUGAGGAUUAGAGAUUGAAUUUGUAUUAAUGUGAAGAUUGUAUCACAUGGAUUUGAUCUCCUUGUAACAUUUAUAUACGUACUUGUAGUAAAAACCGUUAUGACGAUCUGUACAAAAAC